Poecile atricapillus (Black-capped chickadee) is the source of this 329-nucleotide long non-coding RNA. RefSeq lists it as uncharacterized. NCBI's taxonomy places the organism in Eukaryota, Metazoa, Chordata, Aves, Passeriformes, Paridae. The record is from RefSeq and is a predicted model, not a curated record. The transcript has 3 exons.
CUCAUCCAGCAGCUCCUGGAUAAUUUACGAGGAGCCUCCGCUGGAGGAAUAUUUCCCAUAAUCAAGACAGGACUGGGACAAAUGAGAACAUCCCCACGUUUCCAGCAGGCUGUGCACAACGUGUGUGACUCUCACAGUGACCACAGACCUCAGGAACCUCAGAGCGACCCACAGUAAUGAAAAAUGCCAGAACUUGGGAGAACUGGAGUUGUGACUGCUUGGAUGGGCUUCAUUUUCAAAGCUUCACCGUUCGUGCCUUCCUUACCCCAAGGUUUUCAAACAGAAAUAUACACACACCUUAACAACAAAAGGCUAUAAUGACUGCAUUG